RNAcentral lists this unclassified non-coding RNA (213 nucleotides) under plant metagenome. Its description in RNAcentral is "partial contains small subunit ribosomal RNA, internal transcribed spacer 1, and 5.8S ribosomal RNA". The record is from RNAcentral.
UUUCCGUAGGUGAACCUGCGGAAGGAUCAUUCAUAAUAAGUGUUUCAUGGCACUUUUUUAAAUCCAUAUCCACCUUGUGUGCAAUGUCAGGGUUGAUUUUUCUCUCGAGAGGAUCAACCCCAAACAUCAACUAUAUCUCAACUCUAUGUCUGAAAAAUAUUAUGAAUAAAACAAUUCAAAAUACAACUUUCAACAACGGAUCUCUUGGCUCUC